CCUCUUCCCAUUCCGAACAGAGAAGUUAAGCCCACUUGCGCCGAUGGUACUGCAAUGCAAUGCGGGAGAGUAGGUAGCUGCCUUUU
RNAcentral lists this ribosomal RNA (86 nucleotides) under Hoylesella nanceiensis. The record is from RNAcentral. Lineage: Bacteria; Pseudomonadati; Bacteroidota; Bacteroidia; Bacteroidales; Prevotellaceae.